This 262-nucleotide ribosomal RNA is filed under the name uncultured bacterium. RNAcentral describes it as "partial 16S ribosomal RNA". It matches the Rfam family "Bacterial small subunit ribosomal RNA", at positions 516 to 776 of the family's 1533-position model. The record is from RNAcentral.
CGCGGUAAUACGAAGGGGGCUAGCGUUGUUCGGAAUUACUGGGCGUAAAGCGUAUGCAGGCGGCCAACUAAGUCGGAUGUGAAAUCCCCAGGCUCAACUUGGGAAUGGCAUCCGAUACUGGAUGGCUUGAAUCCGGGAGAGGGAUGCGGAAUUCCAGGUGUAGCGGUGAAAUGCGUAGAUAUCUGGAGGAACACCGGUGGCGAAGGCGGCAUCCUGGACCGGUAUUGACGCUGAGUGAGCGAAAGCCAGGGGAGCAAACGGG